UACGUAGGGUGCGAGCGUUGUCCGGAAUUAUUGGGCGUAAAGAGCUUGUAGGCGGUUUGUCGCGUCUGCCGUGAAAAUCCGGGGCUCAACCCCGGACUUGCGGUGGGUACGGGCAGACUAGAGUGUGGUAGGGGAGACUGGAAUUCCUGGUGUAGCGGUGAAAUGCGCAGAUAUCAGGAGGAACACCAGCGGCGAAGGCGCCGCUCUGGGCCGUAACUGACGCUGAGGAGCGAAAGCAUGGGUAGCAAACAGG
RNAcentral lists this ribosomal RNA (253 nucleotides) under uncultured bacterium. RNAcentral describes it as "partial 16S ribosomal RNA". It matches the Rfam family "Bacterial small subunit ribosomal RNA", at positions 524 to 776 of the family's 1533-position model. The record is from RNAcentral.